RNAcentral lists this ribosomal RNA (253 nucleotides) under uncultured bacterium. RNAcentral's name for it is "partial 16S ribosomal RNA". It matches the Rfam family "Bacterial small subunit ribosomal RNA", at positions 524 to 776 of the family's 1533-position model. The record is from RNAcentral.
UACGUAGGGGGCGAGCGUUGUCCGGAAUUAUUGGGCGUAAAGCGCGUGCAGGCGGUUUUUUUAGUUCGUGGUGAAAGACCGGGGCUCAACCCCGGAGCGUCCGCGAAGACUGGAAGACUGGAGUGUCGGAGAGGAGUGCGGAAUACCAGGUGUAGCGGUGGAAUGCGUAGAGAUCUGGUGGAACACCGAUGGCGAAGGCAGCACUCUGGCCGAAGACUGACGCUGAGACGCGAAAGCGUGGGGAGCGAACGGG